UACAGAGGGUGCAAGCGUUGUCCGGAUUUAUUGGGCGUAAAGCGUCUGUAGGCGGUCUGCCAAGUCCGAAGUGAAAUAAUGGGGCUUAACUCCAUAUCCGCUUUGGAAACUGGCAGACUAGAGACUGUUAGAGGUGAAUGGAAUUUCCAGUGUAGCGGUGAAAUGCGUAGAUAUUGGAAGGAACACCAGAGGCGAAGGCGGUUCACUGGGACUGUUCUGACGCUGAGAGACGAAAGCUAGGGGAGCGAAAGGG
RNAcentral lists this ribosomal RNA (253 nucleotides) under uncultured bacterium. RNAcentral's name for it is "partial 16S ribosomal RNA". It matches the Rfam family "Bacterial small subunit ribosomal RNA", at positions 524 to 776 of the family's 1533-position model. The record is from RNAcentral.